RNAcentral lists this ribosomal RNA (615 nucleotides) under uncultured Synechococcus sp. RNAcentral describes it as "bacterial SSU rRNA". It matches the Rfam family "Bacterial small subunit ribosomal RNA", at positions 122 to 770 of the family's 1533-position model. Lineage: Bacteria; Bacillati; Cyanobacteriota; Cyanophyceae; Synechococcales; Synechococcaceae. The record is from RNAcentral.
GAAUCUGCCCUCAGGAGGGGGAUAACGGCUGGAAACGGCCGCUAAUACCCCAUAUGCCGAGAGGUGAAAUGAAUUUCGCCUGAGGAUGAGCUCGCGUCUGAUUAGCUAGUUGGUGUGGUAAAGGCUCACCAAGGCUUCGAUCAGUAGCUGGUCUGAGAGGAUGAUCAGCCACACUGGGACUGAGACACGGCCCAGACUCCUACGGGAGGCAGCAGUGGGGAAUUUUCCGCAAUGGGCGCAAGCCUGACGGAGCAACGCCGCGUGAGGGAUGAAGGCCUCUGGGCUGUAAACCUCUUUUAUCAAGGAAGAAGAACUGACGGUACUUGAUGAAUAAGCCACGGCUAAUUCCGUGCCAGCAGCCGCGGUAAUACGGGAGUGGCAAGCGUUAUCCGGAAUUAUUGGGCGUAAAGCGUCCGCAGGCGGUUUUACAAGUCUGUCGUUAAAGCGUGGAGCUCAACUCCAUUUCAGCGAUGGAAACUGUAAGACUCGAGUGUGGUAGGGGCAGAGGGAAUUCCCGGUGUAGCGGUGAAAUGCGCAGAUAUCGGGAAGAACACCAGUGGCGAAAGCGCUCUGCUGGGCCAUAACUGACGCUCAUGGACGAAAGCCAGGGGAGCG